UACGGAGGAUGCAAGUGUUAUCCGGAAUCACUGGGCGUAAAGCGUCUGUAGGUGGUUUAACAAGUCUACUGUUAAAGCUUGAAGCUUAACUUCAAAAAUGCCGUAGAAACUUUUAAACUUGAGUAUGGUAGGGGUAGAGGGAAUUUCCAGUGGAGCGGUGAAAUGCGUAGAUCUUGGAAAGACCACCAAUGGCGAAGGCACUCUACUGGGCCAUGACUGACACUAAGAGACGAAAGCUAGGGGAGCAAAUGGG
This 253-nucleotide ribosomal RNA is filed under the name uncultured bacterium. RNAcentral describes it as "partial 16S ribosomal RNA". It matches the Rfam family "Bacterial small subunit ribosomal RNA", at positions 524 to 776 of the family's 1533-position model. The record is from RNAcentral.